This is a long non-coding RNA of Pan troglodytes (chimpanzee), 296 nucleotides long. RefSeq lists it as uncharacterized. NCBI's taxonomy places the organism in Eukaryota, Metazoa, Chordata, Mammalia, Primates, Hominidae. The transcript is spliced from 3 exons. The record is from RefSeq and is a predicted model, not a curated record.
GGCCAGGACUCAGGGCUACCGCUUGCGAAGUCCAGGCUCUCCCCAGCGCUGCUAACGGCUGCCCUCUUACACAGGUUUCAGGCUCGUGUUCUUAGAAAUGUGCCAGUGGUGCACAAGAUCCCCUAACCGUUGGAGUGUUUACUGAAAGCCUGAAAGUGCUAAGAGAGAUGGAAAAAGAAACCUUGAGGGUCUUGCUCUGUUGCCCACGCUGGAGUGCAGCGGCGUGAUCUCUGCUCACUGCAACCUCCACCUCCUAGGUUCAAGUGAUUCUCCUGCCUCAGCCUUCUGAGUAGCUG